UGGCUCUCGCAUCGAUGAAGAACGCAGCGAAAUGCGAUAAGUAAUGUGAAUUGCAGAAUUCAGUGAAUCAUCGAAUCUUUGAACGCACCUUGCGCCCCUUGGUACUCCGAGGGGCAUGCCUGUUUGAGUGUCAUCAGACCAUCAACCCAAAGGGGCUUCCGAGUCUCCUCAUCGGUGUUUGGAUCUUGCGGCCUGCCGGACGCUCUCGUGAGCGCCGGCUCCUCGCGGAAUACAUCAGCGGAGUCCAGUUGCGGUCCAAAGCCUUGGCGUGAUAAUCAUCUGCGUCCCGGCCUGGACUGCCUCAGUCUGUGUCUCCCUGCUUAGAACAGACAGAUUCUCCCCGCCCGGCGGGAGGGGGGGUCCGUUGACGAUUCGACCUCGAAUCAGGCAGGACUACCCGCUGA
RNAcentral lists this unclassified non-coding RNA (404 nucleotides) under uncultured fungus. RNAcentral's name for it is "partial contains 5.8S ribosomal RNA and internal transcribed spacer 2". The stretch from base 1 to 133 matches the Rfam family "5.8S ribosomal RNA", at positions 22 to 154 of the family's 154-position model. The record is from RNAcentral. Lineage: Eukaryota; Fungi.